Molecule: long non-coding RNA, 349 nt
Filed under: Mytilus galloprovincialis (Mediterranean mussel)
Lineage: Eukaryota; Metazoa; Mollusca; Bivalvia; Mytilida; Mytilidae
Source: RNAcentral
UAUACCCCCGGACCUAGAUUUACAAUUUUGUCUGACAACAGAAGGUAACAAAGAAAAACCAUCAACAUCAAUAACAUCAUACUUAUCAAUUUCUGUUUCUGUUAAACAUAUUACAUCAUACAAUGAUGUAAAUUCUACAAAAUCAGGUUUACCUAAUUUAGAAGCUAGGCCACAACAUUAAGGGACAAAACUUUUAUUUUCAAAAAUGAAUCUGAAAAAGAAAUUUCACUUUCGGCAUCACUCUGCGUUAUAUUUGCAUCAUUUCCACCAUUCGAACUGCGCGUAACGUCACUCAGGGAAUCAGAAUUUAAGGAGUCGUCAUUUUCGGAGUAUUUCCCUUCACUGCACC